UAAUUAACCGGAGCUUUGUUUCGAUCGACGCGACACUGCACUGUUGAGGUAAGCUUCCCGGGUUAUUUAAGGCGGUAUUUGGUGACUGGCGGCAUACUUACUUGGUGUAGAGGUCAACCGUGAUCACUGUGGCGGUUCCUCCAGGACGAGACUUUCCCAUUGCACUUCGGGACGGUUGACCCCUGCGAGUAUUCCUAACCGGAAUUUCUCGGACACAUAAUUUUUGGUAGUGGGACUGCGUUCGCGCUGUCCCUGA
Non-coding RNA from Cinara cedri, 256 nucleotides. NCBI's taxonomy places the organism in Eukaryota, Metazoa, Arthropoda, Insecta, Hemiptera, Aphididae. The record is from the annotation of a GenBank genome assembly.